GAGAGUAUAGCUCAGUGAUAGAGUGUGUGCUUAGCAUGCACGAGGUCCUGGGUUCAAUCCCCAGUGCCUUCA
RNAcentral lists this transfer RNA (72 nucleotides) under Camelus bactrianus (Bactrian camel). It matches the Rfam family "tRNA". Rfam says of the family: Transfer RNA (tRNA) molecules are approximately 80 nucleotides in length. Lineage: Eukaryota; Metazoa; Chordata; Mammalia; Artiodactyla; Camelidae. RNAcentral also lists the same sequence under 1 other name. The record is from Rfam by way of RNAcentral.